UACGUAGGGGGCAAGCGUUGUCCGGAUUUACUGGGUGUAAAGGGUGCUCAGGCGGAUCUAUAAGUCAGAGGUGAAAUCCCGAGGCUUAACCUUGGAACUGCCUUUGAUACUAUAGUUCUAGAGUUCGGGAGAGGGUGAUGGAAUAUCUGGUGUAGCAGUGAAAUGCGUAGAUAUCAGAUAGAACACCAAUGGCGAAGGCAGUCACCUGGCCCGUAACUGACGCUAAAGCACGAAAGCGUGGGGAGCAAACAGG
Molecule: ribosomal RNA, 253 nt
Filed under: uncultured bacterium
Lineage: Bacteria
Also listed under: 1 other name
Description: partial 16S ribosomal RNA
Rfam family: Bacterial small subunit ribosomal RNA
Source: RNAcentral